AAGAAUCGUGGAGGUAGAGCACUGAUUGGGUGCGGGGCCCGCAAGGGUUACCAAGCUCAGUCAAACUCCGAAUGCCAUAGAUUUAGUUCCGGGAGUCAGACAGUGAGUGCUAAGAUCCAUUGUCGAAAGGGAAACAGCCCAGACCAUCAGCUAAGGUCCCCAAGUGUGUGUUAAGUGGGAAAGGAUGUGGAGUUGCACAGACAACCAGGAUGUUGGCUUAGAAGCAGCCACCAUUGAAAGAGUGCGUAAUAGCUCACUGGUCGAGUGACUCUGCGCCGAAAAUGUAACGGGGCUAAACACACCACCGAAGCUAUGGCUUGAUGCUU
This 326-nucleotide ribosomal RNA is filed under the name Paenibacillus polymyxa. Its description in RNAcentral is "partial 23S ribosomal RNA". It matches the Rfam family "Bacterial large subunit ribosomal RNA", at positions 889 to 1215 of the family's 2925-position model. The record is from RNAcentral. RNAcentral also lists the same sequence under 1 other name. Lineage: Bacteria; Bacillati; Bacillota; Bacilli; Caryophanales; Paenibacillaceae.